GUAGUCCACGCCGUAAACGAUGAAUGCUAGGUGUUAGGGGUUUCAAUACCCUUGGUGCCGAAGUUAACACAUUAAGCAUUCCGCCUGGGGAGUACGCCCGCAAGGGUGAAACUCAAAGGAAUUGACGGGGACCCGCACAAGCAGUGGAGUAUGUGGUUUAAUUCGAAGCAACGCGAAGAACCUUACCAGGCCUUGACAUCCCCCUGAAUGGGUUAGAGAUAAUCCAGGCUUUCGGGACAGGGGAGACAGGUGGUGCAUGGUUGUCGUCAGCUCGUGUCGUGAGAUGUUGGGUUAAGUCCCGCAACGAGCGCAACCCUUGAUUUUAGUUGCCAGCAUUGAGUUGGGCACUCUAGAAUGACUGCCGGUGACAAACCGGA
Molecule: ribosomal RNA, 377 nt
Filed under: uncultured bacterium
Lineage: Bacteria
Description: bacterial SSU rRNA
Rfam family: Bacterial small subunit ribosomal RNA
Source: RNAcentral